Passer domesticus (house sparrow) is the source of this 671-nucleotide long non-coding RNA. RefSeq lists it as uncharacterized. The record is from RefSeq and is a predicted model, not a curated record. The transcript has 2 exons. Lineage: Eukaryota; Metazoa; Chordata; Aves; Passeriformes; Passeridae.
AGAUGCUUGAGGCUGUCACACUGGUCAGUUAUGACGUGCCCAUGGAGACAGAAAGAGCCAGAGAAGUUCGUCACAGCAGAGUGGUGACAAACAGUGCCUGACUGUGCCAUUACAAGCUGUGCUGCACAGGAUGCUCAGAAAGCCACUGGGUUUAAAACGCUGCUGAAUGCUACUGUGACCCUUGCAAAACAGGCCUGAAAUUUGCAGUUGAUCAAAGAUGGCAUUUUAGGAACAAUUAGCAGAGAUGCAACAGCCAUGGAUAUCGUUCUGCUCUUUCAUCCCUCGGUGGACUAUGCAAAUGGUGGCAAAGGAAUAUGUAGUGUUUUUUUCCUGUCCCAAAUCCCCUCCACCACUUCACUUCCCCUUCUCCUGUUUUACCUGAUACUGACACUGCUGUUCCUGGGUAAAACACUACCCUGCAGCAUUUUCUUGAACCAGAGCAGCAAGAGAUAAUGACACUUUAUAAAGUGCUGGCAGAGUGCAACCCUGUGUGUGAUCUCAGGACCUGCAGGGUUUUCAGGGGCUGUUACAAGAUCAGGGCAGGAAAUAGCUUCUGAAGAACUGUUCAGGGAUGAAGGAUGUCUCAAAUAUGAAGGUCUGCAGAAGAGUUAUAAUGUUAUUGCACUGAAUUAUCCCUAAAACGAAUAAAUAUUUAAAUGUGACCAACCAUA